This 92-nucleotide ribosomal RNA is filed under the name Neogale vison (American mink). The record is from RNAcentral. Lineage: Eukaryota; Metazoa; Chordata; Mammalia; Carnivora; Mustelidae.
GUCUAUGGCCAUACCACCCUGAACGCGCCCAAUCUCGUCUGAUCUCGGAAGCUAAGCAGGGUCGGGCCUGGUUAGUACUUGGAUGGGAGAUU